GCAAUUCACCAAUUGUGAAUUCAAUAAUUGACUCCAACAACCCAAAACUUCAAUACUUAGUCAAUGCAAAUUAAUAAAUUUUUAAAUAACUACAAAAAUCUUUAGCUUUGUUCUCCAUACUUCCUUGUCCAGAACCAAAAAAUCAUGAGCAAGCUUUUUCGUUAUUCUAGGUUUGGUUUCUCCCAAUUGGCGAGGCUUUGCUGGGAACUGUGAUUGAAAACUUACAAUCUUUUUUGCCCAAGACGAAUUUACUAUGUUUUGGGGUGCUGAGAAAAAACAAGUAACAGGUCAUGCAGUGAAGGAUUGGCUGCAAAAACUAACAGAUGCAGCAUAUGUGCUUCAUGAUAUCUUGGAUGAAUGUUCAAUACAAUCCAUCUAUCCCAUAUUUGGCAUGGCUGGACUUGGGAAAACAACACUUGCCAAACAGGUCUUCAAUGAUGCAAACAUUUUGACUGGACUAUUUGGGUCUGUGUUUCUAAUGAUUUCAACACAAAGACAAUACUGCAAUCCAUCAUAGAAUGUAGCAUGGGACAAAAUCCUAACCUCAACAACACUUUAGAAUUUACUUGUUCUUGAUGAUGAGUGGAACGAAGACCUAGAGAAAUGGAAGGAGUUGAAGGGAAUGUUGCAGCGUGCAAGGGGAAGAAAAGGAGCUACCAUUUUAAUCACUACUCAGACUUGACUUGAACAAGUCUUUGUUGGGUUUUUUUUUUCCCUUUCUUCCUAUUUGGGGUAAAGUUCCAAAUGAAAAGAUUCAUGUUAUCUCACUUUUUUUAAGUGAAUAUUAGUCAGAUUAAGGAAAGAGACUCAUCUCUCAGGAAAAUAAAAUACAAAAUAUUAAGAGAGACACAAGAGAAAAAAUCAUUUGAUUUUCCCACCACCAGAGAGCAUUUUGGAUUGUCAAAAUGAUAUCUACAAAGAAAUAAGUGUUUCGUAUUCUAUACUUGGUAUUUUUGGAAUUUCAUUUUCUGGUCUCUAUGGUAAGUAUUGAUGCUUUAUUUUGAUUUGGUGGUUUGUAGCACAUUUUAGGGUAUUUAUUGGUGACUCUCUUGUACCUUUAUUGAGUUAUUUUUUUGGUCUGAAUGACCCAUAAUUUUUAUUUUUGUAUUAAGGAUUUUUUCAUUAAACAAAUUGUAUCUCUUGAUUUCUAUUUUAUACUCUAUAUUAUUGGUCUUUCUGACAAGUUCUUGCCUUUUCCUUUUGGAGAGAAUUUAUUUCCAUGACCUAUUACUCUCUUAUUGAAUUUGUUAGUGUGUUAACCAGUUUUGCCCAUCAUGGAAACCCAUCCUGCAUAUCGUUUGAUAGAACAGUUGGUCAUUGUUGAAACAUUAUGCAUUUGGACCAAAUAGAGAACAGAGGGAAGAGCUUGUAGCAAUCGGCAAAGAGAUUGUGAGGAAAUGCGUUGCUUCGCCACUUGCAAUCCAGACAUACGGGAAGUGAGUUUUGGAAAGGAAAGUUCCAUCACUGGCUAAGGUGGGGAAUGUUGGCAGUUGGCAUCAGUCCUGGCUGUAGAACCUUGUGGCUUUUGCUUCCAAUCUGAAGAUCAUGAUUUUCCAAUUCUGACAUGAUGCCAAACAUGACCCAACAAUGUAUACGAUUUAAGUGCACAUAUUUGCUCAACGCAUGGAAACACCACAACUCUGCCCAAAGGAUUCAAAAGAAGAAAAUUACAAGUGUUUUGAAAGAAGAUUGAUGCAAAAACAUGAAGAAAAAAGCCUUGAAAGAAAUGUUGAAGAUUGAAACAGCUCACUUAGCGCACAAGACAAACCCAGCGCGCCCCCUUACUUAGCGGCCAGUUCAAGCUUAGCGCGAAGAAGGCUCACGAAGAAGGUCAAAGGUGCGCUUAGCGCGAAUCCUGCGCUAAGGGCGUGAUCACGACCAUACUUGUUAAGCCCAAAAGGUCCGCUUAGUACGAGGUCGCCUGAGCUAACUUAGGCCUAUAAGAGGAGUAGGAAGCAAAGGAAAAAGACACACCGAGACUAAGAGUUAUCUAAUGAAUACAUCCUAAGUCUGAGUAUCUCAAAUAGGAAAAAUCUUUUUUUUUAUGUUUAUCAUUCCCUUCUCUUCCUUUAUCCAUCCAUUCUCUUCUUCUAUUCACAUCAACUCUUAAAGUAUAAAGCAUGACCAUGAGAGGCUAAACCCCAUUGUUGGGAGCCUAACAGGUCAAUUCUUGUAAUGUAAUUUUUUUCCUAAUAUCUAUUUAAUGCAAUCCAGUUUUUAUUGCUCA
Glycine soja is the source of this 2227-nucleotide long non-coding RNA. RefSeq lists it as uncharacterized. The transcript is spliced from 3 exons. Lineage: Eukaryota; Viridiplantae; Streptophyta; Magnoliopsida; Fabales; Fabaceae. The record is from RefSeq and is a predicted model, not a curated record.